GUCCGUUCAUCCCAAUAGGGACGCAUGACACCCAAGCAUGGAACGGGGCUUGGU
This 54-nucleotide non-coding RNA is filed under the name unclassified sequences. Its description in RNAcentral is "Glutamine-II sequence". It matches the Rfam family "Glutamine-II riboswitch aptamer". Rfam says of the family: The major groove of the PK provides the binding site for L-glutamine RNAcentral also lists the same sequence under 1 other name. The record is from RNAcentral.